This is a long non-coding RNA of Hibiscus syriacus, 127 nucleotides long. RefSeq lists it as uncharacterized. NCBI's taxonomy places the organism in Eukaryota, Viridiplantae, Streptophyta, Magnoliopsida, Malvales, Malvaceae. The transcript is spliced from 3 exons. The record is from RefSeq and is a predicted model, not a curated record.
UUUGCCCCCUUUUUUCGAGUCGAGAAAAUAGUCUAAGCUUGCUACAGGGCAAUGAAAAAUAUAGACACAAGUUUAAUCUAGUGAAGCUGAAACAUUCCUAAUCCUGGAUAAUUUCAUGAUUCUAGUU